GAGUAUGUAGAGGUAGUGGAAUUUCCUGUGUACGGUGAAAUCGUAGAUAUAGGAAGGAACACCAGUGGCGAAGGCGGCUACCUGGACCAAUACUGACACUGAGGUGCGAAAGCGUGGGGAUCAAACAGGAUUAGAUACCCUGGUAGUCCACGCCGUAAACGAUGUCUACUAGCCGUUGGGACUCUUGAAGUCUUAGUGGCGCACUAACGCACU
RNAcentral lists this ribosomal RNA (213 nucleotides) under uncultured bacterium. Its description in RNAcentral is "partial 16S ribosomal RNA". It matches the Rfam family "Bacterial small subunit ribosomal RNA", at positions 642 to 861 of the family's 1533-position model. The record is from RNAcentral.